This 45-nucleotide non-coding RNA is filed under the name Schistosoma margrebowiei. Lineage: Eukaryota; Metazoa; Platyhelminthes; Trematoda; Strigeidida; Schistosomatidae. The record is from RNAcentral.
AUCCAGCUAACUAGUCCCAAAUAGAACGAAAUGCGCAUCCUGGAU